GAGUUUGAUCCUGGCUCAGGAUGAACGCUAGCGGCAGGCUUAAUACAUGCAAGUCGAGGGGUAAGGCUCAUUUCGAUGAGUACACGACCGGCGCACGGGUGCGUAACGCGUAUGCAACCUACCUUUAACAGGGGGAUAGCCCCGAGAAAUCGGGAUUAAUACCCCAUAAUACUGUAAAGUGGCAUCACUUUACAUUUAAAACUCUGGUGGUUAAAGAUGGGCAUGCGUGACAUUAGCUGGUUGGUGAGGUAACGGCUCACCAAGGCUACGAUGUCUAGGGGUUCUGAGAGGAAGAUCCCCCACACUGGUACUGAGACACGGACCAGACUCCUACGGGAGGCAGCAGUAAGGAAUAUUGGUCAAUGGACGCAAGUCUGAACCAGCCAUGCCGCGUGCAGGAAGACAGCCCUAUGGGUUGUAAACUGCUUUUAUAAAGGAAUAACCAUUCUCGUGA
This 454-nucleotide ribosomal RNA is filed under the name uncultured prokaryote. RNAcentral's name for it is "bacterial SSU rRNA". It matches the Rfam family "Bacterial small subunit ribosomal RNA", at positions 9 to 461 of the family's 1533-position model. The record is from RNAcentral.